Molecule: ribosomal RNA, 253 nt
Filed under: uncultured bacterium
Lineage: Bacteria
Description: partial 16S ribosomal RNA
Rfam family: Bacterial small subunit ribosomal RNA
Source: RNAcentral
UACGAAGGGGGCUAGCGUUGCUCGGAAUUACUGGGCGUAAAGCGCACGUAGGCGGCUUCUUAAGUCGGUGGUGAAAUCCUGGAGCUCAACUCCAGAACUGCCUUUGAUACUGGCGACCUUGAGUUCGGGAGAGGUGAGUGGAACUGCGAGUGUAGAGGUGAAAUUCGUAGAUAUUCGCAAGAACACCAGUGGCGAAGGCGGCUCACUGGCCCGAUACUGACGCUGAGGUGCGAAAGCGUGGGGAGCAAACAGG